Molecule: long non-coding RNA, 327 nt
Organism: Coregonus clupeaformis (lake whitefish)
Lineage: Eukaryota; Metazoa; Chordata; Actinopteri; Salmoniformes; Salmonidae
Exons: 3
Source: RefSeq, a predicted model, not a curated record
CCUUUCCCUGUUGGAGGAGAACAGUAAAACUACAAUUGAAAAACAUUUCACCGGGCCACAGGCCGUCCCGUAUUAGGGGUAUUUUGCUUCCGGUAUCAGAAGAAACGAGUAGUUUUGUCUCUCCCACACUUUUUUUGGAAGCUGAACUUUUUUAGAGUGGAAAAUGGGUAUUUGAGACUGUUGGCACAUUUCCCUCCUCCACAAUGGCCACCGAAACCUUUCUGGUGAAUGAAGACCCCUCCAGAGGUCCUGGGAUGCCUGAAUGCUUUGUAGUAUCAGAUUCCUACAGGUAUUGCACUACUCACCUUCUAAACAAUCCAUUAGUGG